Non-coding RNA from Chelonoidis abingdonii (Abingdon island giant tortoise), 91 nucleotides. The record is from RefSeq and is a predicted model, not a curated record. NCBI's taxonomy places the organism in Eukaryota, Metazoa, Chordata, Testudines, Testudinidae.
GAUAGGUUCAUCAAGGUCCACCAAUGGCUAUUAGCCAAGAUGGUCAUGGAUGCAGCCCAUGCUUAGAGUGACCCAAAACCUCCAACUACCA